RNAcentral lists this transfer RNA (74 nucleotides) under Acidimicrobiales bacterium. RNAcentral describes it as "tRNA-Trp". It matches the Rfam family "tRNA". Rfam says of the family: Transfer RNA (tRNA) molecules are approximately 80 nucleotides in length. Their secondary structure includes four short double-helical elements and three loops (D, anti-codon, and T loops). Lineage: Bacteria; Bacillati; Actinomycetota; Acidimicrobiia; Acidimicrobiales. The record is from RNAcentral.
CCGGGUGUAGCUCAGUGGUAGAGCAGCGGCUUCCAAUCCCGCCGGCGAGGGUUCGACUCCUUCCACCCGUGCCA